GGUGAACGCUGGCGGCGUGCCUAAUACAUGCAAGUCGAGCGGACAGACGAGGAGCUUGCUCCUCUGACGUUAGCGGCGGACGGGUGAGUAACACGUGGAUAACCUACAUAUAAGACUGGGAUAACUUCGGGAAACCGGAGCUAAUACCGGAUAAUAUAUUGAACCGCAUGGUUCAAUAGUGAAAGACGGUUUUGCUGUCAAUUAUAGAUGGAUCCGCGCCGCAUUAGCUAGUUGGUAAGGUAACGGCUUACCAAGGCAACGAUGCGUAGCCGACCUGAGAGGGUGAUAGGCCACACUGGAACUGAGACACGGUCCAGACUCCUACGGGAGGCAGCAGUAGGGAAUCUUGCGCAAUGGGCGAAAGCCUGACGGAGCAACGCCGCGUGAGUGAUGAAGGUCUUCGGAUCGUAAAACUCUGUUAUUAGGGAAGAACAAAUGUGUAAGUAACUAUGCACGUCUUGACGGUACCUAAUCAGAAAGCAACGGCUAACUACGUG
This 497-nucleotide ribosomal RNA is filed under the name uncultured bacterium. RNAcentral describes it as "partial 16S ribosomal RNA". It matches the Rfam family "Bacterial small subunit ribosomal RNA", at positions 28 to 507 of the family's 1533-position model. The record is from RNAcentral.